AGGACGAACGCUGGCGGCGUGCUUAACACAUGCAAGUCGAGCGGAAAGGCCUUUCGGGGUACUCGAGCGGCGAACGGGUGAGUAACACGUGAGUAAUCUGCCCAUCGCUUCAGGAUAGCCAUCGGAAACGGUGAUUAAUACUGGAUAUGACAUUCCUUCGCAUGUUGGGGUGUGGUAAAGUUUUUCGGCGGUGGAUGUGCUCGCGGCCUAUCAGCUUGUUGGUGGGUAAUGGCCUACCAAGGUCUUUGACGGGUAGCCGGCUGAGAGGGUCGACCGGCCACACGUGGGACUGAGACCACGGCCCAGACUCCACGGGAGGCAGCGAGUGGGAAUAGUUGGAACAAGUGGGACGGAAGCCUAGAUCCGAGACCAACGCCGGCGUGGAGGAUGACCGGUCCGUUCGGGUUACGUAACC
RNAcentral lists this ribosomal RNA (415 nucleotides) under uncultured soil bacterium. RNAcentral's name for it is "bacterial SSU rRNA". It matches the Rfam family "Bacterial small subunit ribosomal RNA", at positions 26 to 430 of the family's 1533-position model. The record is from RNAcentral.